GAUUAACGCUGGCGGCGUGCAUAACACAUGCAAGUCGAACGAUGAAACGUAGUAGAUUUUUUCCGAACGACACUAAUCGGCGUAUUGGUGAACGGGUGAUUAACGCGCGAUUAACCUGCCAUACACAAGGGGAUCGCCUUUUGACACGAAAAAUAAUACCCUACAAAACCAUAAAAGCACAUGCUAGAAUGGUCAAAGUGAUAACGGUGUAAGUUGGACUUGCUUCUGAUUAGCUAGUUGGUGGGAUAAACGCUCACCAAGGCCACGAUCAGUAGCCGGCUGGAGAGAGUGUACGGCAACAUUGGGACUGGGACACGGCCCAGACUCCCACGAGAGGGAGCAGUGGGGAAUUUUGAACAAUGGGGGAAACACUGAUGCAGCGACGCCGCGAGAUUUAGAAGGCCUGCGGGUUGUAAAAAUCUUUUGUAUAGGAAGAAAAUGACAGUACCAUACGAAUAAGGUACGGCUAAUUACGUG
This 477-nucleotide ribosomal RNA is filed under the name uncultured bacterium. RNAcentral describes it as "partial 16S ribosomal RNA". It matches the Rfam family "Bacterial small subunit ribosomal RNA", at positions 28 to 507 of the family's 1533-position model. The record is from RNAcentral.